Molecule: ribosomal RNA, 704 nt
Filed under: uncultured Tomentella
Lineage: Eukaryota; Fungi; Basidiomycota; Agaricomycetes; Thelephorales; Thelephoraceae
Description: eukaryotic LSU rRNA
Rfam family: 5.8S ribosomal RNA (bases 269-423)
Source: RNAcentral
CUUGGUCAUUUAGAGGAAGUAAAAGUCGUAACAAGGUUUCCGUAGGUGAACCUGCGGAAGGAUCAUUACCGAAUUGUCAACACGAGUUGUUGCUGGUCCUCAACCGGGGGCAUGUGCACGCUCUGUUUACACAUCCACUCACACCUGUGCACCCUCUGUAGUUCUGUGGUCUGAGGGGCUCUGUCCUCUCGCCGUGGUUCUAUGUCUUUACACACGCACUGUAAUAAAGUUUCAUGGAAUGCAUGACGCGUUUAACGCAAUACAAUACAACUUUCAGCAACGGAUCUCUUGGCUCUCGCAUCGAUGAAGAACGCAGCGAAAUGCGAUAAGUAAUGUGAAUUGCAGAAUUCAGUGAAUCAUCGAAUCUUUGAACGCACCUUGCGCCCUUUGGCUAUUCCAGAGGGCAUGCCUGUUUGAGUAUCAUGAACACCUCAACUCUCACGGUUCGCCGUGAUGAGCUUGGACUUUGGGGGUCUUGCUGGCCUGUGGUCGGCUCCUCUCAAAUGAAUCAGCUUGCCAGUGUUUGGUGGCAUCGCAGGUGUGAUAACUAUCUACGCUUGUGGUUUUCCACCAGGUAACCUUCAGUGAUGGAGGUUCGCUGGGGCUCACAAAUGUCUCUCCUCAGCGAGGACAGUUUCUUGAAUGUUUGAUCUCAAAUCAGGUAGGGCUACCCGCUGAACUUAAGCAUAUCAAUAAGCGGAGGA